Molecule: long non-coding RNA, 1362 nt
Organism: Lathyrus oleraceus (garden pea)
Lineage: Eukaryota; Viridiplantae; Streptophyta; Magnoliopsida; Fabales; Fabaceae
Exons: 3
Source: RefSeq, a predicted model, not a curated record
CCAUAAGCUGAAAUCAGGCAAAAGCGCUUCUGCGAAAACACCUAUUCAAGCAAGCCCUGAGCUAGCAUAGUGAUCGCGUUCAACGUCCUCGUGUCGAUGGAAUCGGCCGCGUUUCAAAAUCAUGAAUCGUGCUCGUUCGAUGUUCCCAAUUGGAUUUUGGUUCAAACUGCGAAUUGGAUCCUAAGUUCAACAAGAAUCGCGUCCAAUUCCAACUAAAUCGAGAUCAGGACACGCUUCCGCGAUUGCUUCUGACAGGCCUUCUCGAUGAAAUUUCUCUCCCUAGUCAAUCACUACUGCCGCGACGUGUAUGUAUAUGCGUGCAUCUUCUUCUUCAGUUUGCACAAAAUGAUUCGGAUUCACCCUUUAGGUCAGGUUCAUUGCCGUCUUCGCUAACUCCGGAUCGCAAGAUUCAACGCCGCAACUGAAAGCCUAUGCAACUUCGCAUCUUGUGCGUAGAGUGGUGAAGCCUCACACGUGAACUGAGAAUCUAAUCAAGAAGAAUUUGAAUUGGACUUAUUGUGAUAGGCUGUGAAAUCAAAACUCCGGUACUCUGAUUUUUGGCGAUUGACAGAUGAGUUGUGACGACAUCAUUGCGGUGUUUACAUAACGGCGGCAGGUCAAGAAACGGAGACCGAGAGGUGACGUUUGAAGGAAGUUAAAGCUUGAGGAUUGAAGGUGAAUAUGAAUUAUCGAGAAACCCUCUAGGCCAAUUGAAGAAGGAGCACUCUUUGUUGCAGAUGAUGAUUGGUGUUGGAGCAUCUCAAAGAUGAAUUGUGAAGAGUGAAGAUUUGAUGGGAGCCCUGAAUUGGAGCAAUGGAAAACAAUGCAGAGUUAGAAAAAACAUGGAUUGAAGCUGUUUGAAGGUGAAGGAAUUGUUCGAGAGAAGGUUGAAGGAAUUGGUUGAGACAAGUUUGAAGGGCUCGAUUGAAGGUGAGAGCUGAUAUUGAAGGGAUGAUUAUGUGAGAAUGGAUAUAAAGUGAUGUUGUUGCAGAGUGAAAAUUCCCUGCUGCAGAAUCGAAAAGAACUCUCUGCAAAAAUCCAAAAAAAAGCUCCUUCUCUCAAUGAUCAGCCAGGAUGCUUAGAUGAUUUGUGAACUUAUGGUGAACUUGGGAUGCUUUGAAUAUUGGAGUGAAACUUGGUUGCUUGCUCUAUGCACUUGUAUUGAAGAGUGGAGCAUGGUGGAUGCUAUUAAACUUUCAUUAUGUAUUGAUGCAAAUUUUGUUGUAAUUUGAAUUAAAGAAUGUGAAAUUGAGUUGGAUUAAUGAAAAAUGUUUGGAAUAAUGGUUGUAAUAGAAAUGGAUUGAUGAAAUUGUAAUGUGUAUUGAAUGGUUAAAUAUAUUGAAAGUUUGAAUGUUAUGGAAA